Molecule: long non-coding RNA, 1575 nt
Filed under: Sus scrofa (pig)
Lineage: Eukaryota; Metazoa; Chordata; Mammalia; Artiodactyla; Suidae
Description: lncRNA (ENSSSCG00070025769.1)
Source: RNAcentral
UCUGGAUAUCAAGCAAAUCAAAUUACGCGAAGGCCCACCAGACACGCGCAUUAAUCAUCGGGUAGCCCAGCUACACACCUUUGGGGGCGGGGGCGGGGCGCGAACCUGGCCAGCGGCUUCCCCGGCGGCCGCAGGAUGGACCCGGCUGGGAGGCAGGCCCGGGAGCCGGAGGGGGCGUGGCCACUGUGUCCCCCAUCCCCCCACUUCCACACCGCCCCCCGAGGCCAGGAGCGAGAAGGACCCCGAAGAGCCCAAGCAGAUUUUGGCAGUUUCCUGCCAGAAUCACCACUUCUGGUGAAACGGUGGCUGAAAGGAAAAACAUGCAGUGCUGGCAACACGCAGAGCCAACUCUUUUCAUCUGGAAGUACCUUCGUGGAAAUACCGCCACCUGAAUGGAAACAGUUUGACCACAAGGUGCCACCAGAAGUGACUGGGGUUGAUGGGCCUAAGUCUUAGCCUGCCCCACACAUACUUGGUUCUCAAACACCCACCCACCCACCGGACACACUCUGCUUGACAUGGCUCUGGCUAAGGCAGGUCUUCUGGAAGCUUCAGCAUCUUAUCUCCUUCUGCACGAAGCCUCGGGCCUUUCCGGGGAAGAGCUGCUACAGUGGGGAAUGAGAACAAGAUGUGACUUGCUCGUUUACCUCCACCGUAAACCUCUCUUAUUUGAACAACCAUGUCUACAGGAGCAGCUUACCUAACCCUCUGGACUUUAGUUUCUUCUUGGGCAAAGUAGAAACAACAUCCACCUUCAAGGGCCAUUGUGCCAAUUAAAUGAGAAAACCUCAGAGUCGUGUUUGACCCAGAAUAACAGGUCGGUGGGCUCCUUCCCUUUCUGGGGUCACCUAACAUCUUCCCCGCAGGUGACGUGGGGCGAGGAGUCCAUGAUGCUGAGAAGACAAGAAGGCAACCAACUGUGGACAAGAAAGGGUCCAGCCAAGGUCACAAGCCUUCCCCAGAACGGGAUCGUGCACAGAGGUAAGACACUCAGGAAGAGAGGAGUCAAGCUGCACACUUGGCAGCUAAGCCUCCAGCUCUGAGGCAGUGGAGACUCCGAAUGCUCGUCAAAAAGCCUUGAUGUAGAUUUUUUUUUUUUUCAUUCCACACAUUAAAAUGAAAAUGACAGCAUUCACGCUAUCCCCACACAUGCCGGUGAAUAACUCACUUCAUGAUGGAUAUGGGUCCCUGUGACUCUGGUAUAGACAACAAAGCAAACCAGAGAUCAGAAGUGAAUUGGGGUUUAUGGCUAAUAUGGGAUACUCAUUUUAAAAUGGCAAAAUGGGGGAGGUCCUGUUGUGGUGCAUUGGAAACAAAUCCAACAAGGAUCCAUGAGGACUCAGGUUCGAUCCCUGGCCUCACUCAGUGGGUUCAGGAUCCAGCAUUGCCAUGACCUGUGGUGCAGGCGGCAGACAAAGCUUGGAUCCUUUGUAGCUGUGGCUGUGGUGUAGGCCGGCAGCUACAGCUCCAAUUCGACCCCUAGCCUGGGAACUUCCAUAUGCUGUGGGGGCAGCCCUAAAAACAAACAAAAACCCUGCAAAUAAACUAACCUUAGCCAUUUUAGCUCUGUAUACA